RNAcentral lists this ribosomal RNA (386 nucleotides) under Macaca sylvanus (Barbary ape). RNAcentral's name for it is "12S ribosomal RNA". It matches the Rfam family "Bacterial small subunit ribosomal RNA", at positions 794 to 1383 of the family's 1533-position model. The record is from RNAcentral. Lineage: Eukaryota; Metazoa; Chordata; Mammalia; Primates; Cercopithecidae.
GCCUAGCCCUAAACCUCAGUAGUUGAGCAACAAAACUACUCGCCAGAAUACUACAAGCAACAGCUUGAAACUCAAAGGACUUGACGGUGCUUUACACCCCCUAGAGGAGCCUGUUCCAUAAUCGAUAAACCCCGAUCCACCCUACCCUCUCUUGCUCAGCCUAUAUACCGCCAUCUUCAGCAAACCCUGAUGAAGGCCACAAAGUGAGCGCAAAUGCCCACCCGCAAAAACGUUAGGUCAAGGUGUAGCCCAUGAGACGGUAAAAAAUGGGCUACAUUUUCUGCCUCAGAAUACCCACGAAAACUCUUAUGAAACCUAAGAGUCCAAGGAGGAUUUAGCAGUAAAUUAAGAAUAGAGUGCUUAAUUGAACCAGGCCAUAAAGCGCG